Molecule: ribosomal RNA, 785 nt
Filed under: uncultured bacterium
Lineage: Bacteria
Description: bacterial SSU rRNA
Rfam family: Bacterial small subunit ribosomal RNA
Source: RNAcentral
AGAGUUUGAUCAUGGCUCAGGACGAACGCUGGCGGCGUGCUUAACACAUGCAAGUCGAACGGUAAGGCCCUUCGGGGUACACGAGUGGCGAACGGGUGAGUAACACGUGGGUAAUCUGCCCUGCACAUCGGGAUAAGCCUGGGAAACUGGGUCUAAUACCGAAUAGGACCACAGGACACAUGUCCUGUGGUGGAAAGCUUUUGCGGUGUGGGAUGGGCCCGCGGCCUAUCAGCUUGUUGGUGGGGUGAUGGCCUACCAAGGCGACGACGGGUAGCCGGCCUGAGAGGGUGUCCGGCCACACUGGGACUGAGAUACGGCCCAGACUCCUACGGGAGGCAGCAGUGGGGAAUAUUGCACAAUGGGCGAAAGCCUGAUGCAGCGACGCCGCGUGGGGGAUGACGGCCUUCGGGUUGUAAACCUCUUUCACCAUCGACGAAGGUCCGGGUUUUCUCGGGCUGACGGUAGGUGGAGAAGAAGCACCGGCCAACUACGUGCCAGCAGCCGCGGUAAUACGUAGGGUGCGAGCGUUGUCCGGAAUUACUGGGCGUAAAGAGCUCGUAGGUGGUUUGUCGCGUUGUUCGUGAAAUCCCACGGCUUAACUGUGAGCGUGCGGGCGAUACGGGCAGACUUGAGUACUGCAGGGGAGACUGGAAUUCCUGGCGUAGCGGUGGAAUGCGCAGAUAUCAGGAGGAACACCGGUGGCGAAGGCGGGUCUCUGGGCAGUAACUGACGCUGAGGAGCGAAAGCGUGGGGAGCGAACAGGAUUAGAUACCCUGGUAGUCCAA